GACGAGCGCUGGCGGCGUGCUUAACACAUGCAAGUCGAACGGAAAGGCCCUGCUUUUGUGGGGUGCUCGAGUGGCGAACGGGUGAGUAACACGUGAGUAACCUGCCCUUGACUUUGGGAUAACUUCAGGAAACUGGGGCUAAUACCGGAUAGGAGCUCCUGCUGCAUGGUGGGGGUUGGAAAGUUUCGGCGGUUGGGGUUGGACUCGCGGCUUAUCAGCUUGUUGGUGGGGUAGUGGCUUACCAAGGCUUUGACGGGUAGCCGGCCUGAGAGGGUGACCGGCCACAUUGGGACUGAGAUACGGCCCAGACUCCUACGGGAGGCAGCAGUGGGGAAUAUUGCACAAUGGGCGGAAGCCUGAUGCAGCAACGCCGCGUGCGGGAUGACGGCCUUCGGGUUGUAAACCGCUUUCGCCUGUGACGAAGCGUGAGUGACGGUAAUGGGUAAAGAAGCACCGGCUAACUACGUG
RNAcentral lists this ribosomal RNA (468 nucleotides) under uncultured bacterium. RNAcentral describes it as "partial 16S ribosomal RNA". It matches the Rfam family "Bacterial small subunit ribosomal RNA", at positions 28 to 507 of the family's 1533-position model. The record is from RNAcentral.